Molecule: ribosomal RNA, 1104 nt
Filed under: uncultured bacterium
Lineage: Bacteria
Description: bacterial SSU rRNA
Rfam family: Bacterial small subunit ribosomal RNA
Source: RNAcentral
GGAGGGCAGCUACACAUGCAAGUCGAACGGUAACAGGGUUAGCUUGCUAAUCGCUGACGAGUGGCGGACGGGUGAGUAAUACUUAGGGAUCUGCCUUCUGGAGGGGGAUAACCAUUGGAAACGAUGGCUAAUACCGCAUAAUGUCUACGGACCAAAGGGGGCUCCGGCUCUCACCAGAAGAGGAACCUAAGCGAGAUUAGCUAGUUGGUGAGGUAAAGGCUCACCAAGGCGACGAUCUCUAGCUGUUCUGAGAGGAAGAUCAGCCACACUGGGACUGAGACACGGCCCAGACUCCUACGGGAGGCAGCAGUGGGGAAUAUUGCACAAUGGGGGAAACCCUGAUGCAGCCAUGCCGCGUGUGUGAAGAAGGCCUUCGGGUUGUAAAGCACUUUCAGUGGGGAGGAAAGGUUAAUGGUUAAUACCCAUUAGCUGUGACGUUACCCACAGAAGAAGCACCGGCUAACUCCGUGCCAGCAGCCGCGGUAAUACGGAGGGUGCGAGCGUUAAUCGGAAUUACUGGGCGUAAAGCGCACGCAGGCGGAUUGUUAAGCUAGAGGUGAAAGCCCCGCGCUCAACGUGGGAAUUGCCUUUAGAACUGGCAGUCUAGAGUCUUGGAGAGGGGAGUGGAAUUCCAGGUGUAGCGGUGAAAUGCGUAGAGAUCUGGAGGAACAUCAGUGGCGAAGGCGACUCCCUGGCCAAAGACUGACGCUCAUGUGCGAAAGUGUGGGUAGCGAACAGGAUUAGAUACCCUGGUAGUCCACACCGUAAACGCUGUCUACUAGCUGUUUGUGUAUUUAAUACGUGAGUAGCGAAGCUAACGCGCUAAGUAGACCGCCUGGGGAGUACGGCCGCAAGGUUAAAACUCAAAUGAAUUGACGGGGGCCCGCACAAGCGGUGGAGCAUGUGGUUUAAUUCGAUGCAACGCGAAGAACCUUACCUACACUUGACAUCCAGAGAACUUACCAGAGAUGGUUUGGUGCCUUCGGGAACUCUGAGACAGGUGCUGCAUGGCUGUCGUCAGCUCGUGUCGUGAGAUGUUGGGUUAAGUCCCGCAACGAGCGCAACCCUUGUCCUUAGUUGCCAGCAUUUAGUUGGGCACCCCUA